AUUGAACGCUGGCGGCAUGCCUUACGCAUGCAAGUCGAGCGGCAGCGCCGGGGGCAACCCUGGCGGCGAGCGGCGUACGGGUGAGUAAUGCAUCGGAACGUGUCCUCUUGUGGGGGAUAACCAGUCGAAAGACUGGCUAAUACCGCAUGAGAUCGAGAGAUGAAAGCAGGGGACCCGCAAGGGCCUUGCGCGAGAGGAGCGGCCGAUGCCCGAUUAGCUAGUGGCGGGGUAAAAGCCCACCAAGGCGACGAUCGGUAGCUGGUCUGAGAGGACGACCAGCCACGCUGGGACUGAGACACGGCCCAGACUCCUACGGGAGGCAGCAGUGGGGAAUUUUGGACAAUGGGGGCAACCCUGAUCCAGCCAUGCCGCGUGCGGGAAGAAGGCCUUCGGGUUGUAAACCGCUUUUAUACGGAAAGAAGGAGUCGCGGUAAUACCUGCGAUGACAGACGGUACCGGAUGAAUAAGCACCGGCUAACUACGUGCCAGCAGCCGCGGUAAUACGUAGGGUGCGAGCGUUAAUCGGAAUUACUGGGCGUAAGCGUGCGCAGGCGG
RNAcentral lists this ribosomal RNA (555 nucleotides) under uncultured bacterium. RNAcentral's name for it is "bacterial SSU rRNA". It matches the Rfam family "Bacterial small subunit ribosomal RNA", at positions 28 to 578 of the family's 1533-position model. The record is from RNAcentral.